RNAcentral lists this ribosomal RNA (798 nucleotides) under uncultured Sphingobacteriia bacterium. RNAcentral describes it as "bacterial SSU rRNA". It matches the Rfam family "Bacterial small subunit ribosomal RNA", at positions 57 to 855 of the family's 1533-position model. The record is from RNAcentral. Lineage: Bacteria; Pseudomonadati; Bacteroidota; Sphingobacteriia.
GCAAGUCGAGGGGUAACGAUGUCUUCGGACAGGCGACGACCGGCGCACGGGUGAGUAUCGCGUUUGUAACCUACCUUUAACUGGAGCAUAGCCCGAAGAAAUUCGGAUUAAUACUCCAUAACACUAUGAACUGGCAUCUUUUUAUAGUUAAAGCUCCGGCGGUUAAAGAUGGGCAUGCGUAACAUUAGCUUGUUGGUGAGGUAACGGCUCACCAAGGCUACGAUGUUUAGGGGGUCUGAGAGGAUGGUCCCCCACACUGGUACUGAGACACGGACCAGACUCCUACGGGAGGCAGCAGUGAGGAAUAUUGGUCAAUGGGCGCAAGCCUGAACCAGCCAUGCCGCGUGAAGGAUGACAGCCCUAUGGGUUGUAAACUUCUUUUGUACGGGAAGAAACAUUUCUACGUGUAGAAACUUGACGGUACCGUACGAAUAAGCAUCGGCUAACUCCGUGCCAGCAGCCGCGGUAAUACGGAGGAUGCAAGCGUUAUCCGGAUUUAUUGGGUUUAAAGGGUACGUAGGCGGAAACUUAAGUCAGUAGUGAAAUCCUGCAGCUUAACUGUAGAACUGUUAUUGAUACUGGGUUUCUUGAAUAUUGUUGAGGUAGGCGGAAUAAGUAAUGUAGCGGUGAAAUGCUUAGAUAUUACUUAGAACACCGAUUGCGAAGGCAGCUUACUAAGCAAUGAUUGACGCUGAGGUACGAAAGCGUGGGGAGCGAACAGGAUUAGAUACCCUGGUAGUCCACGCUGUAAACGAUGAUCACUCGUUGUUGGCAAUACAUCGUCAGCGACUGAGCGAA